Molecule: long non-coding RNA, 1024 nt
Filed under: Cricetulus griseus (Chinese hamster)
Lineage: Eukaryota; Metazoa; Chordata; Mammalia; Rodentia; Cricetidae
Description: lncRNA (ENSCGRG00015043163.1)
Source: RNAcentral
GCUGUUUCUAUUUAGAAAGGUCAGGCUUCCUAUGGAUAUCAACAAAGCACCCCAUAUCAUGCUGUGGGUUAAUACAAUUAUUUUUGUUGGUUUAAUUUUUGUGUCUUCAUUUUGUUUUGCUUUUAGUUUCAGUUUUUGUUUUUGUGUUUUUUGCAGUAUGAUCAUGUAGUUCAGGCUGGCAUUGCACUUACUAGGUAGCUCAGGAUGACCUUCUUCAGGAUCCUCCUGCAACCAACAUCCAAGUGCUGGACUUCCAGGAAUAGCCUGCAGUGCUUUGAAACACUGGUUUCCUAACCCUCUCCUUUGUCUUUCAACUGUUUGUGUUAAAGAGGAAACAUUCUAUUUUCCAUUAAAAAUUUAAUACCAUGACACAAGAGAUUUUUAGAUUGGCUUCACAGUUUUAGGUCACUUUAAGACCUUUGAUGUGUUCUCUCCUUUCCUACCAUUGGUUACUCACUUGUUCCCACAGUCAUACUGUGGAAUGUGCUGGGAGGUACUUAGUGUAAGAUGUAAAUUAGACAUUGGUGGGAAGCCACCUGCCAAAUUCUGGGACAGAGUAUUUGUGGGUGAUGUCCAGACCUACAUUGUCCUCUCCAAUUGUACACUUGGUACAUUCUUAUGAAAAAGAAGUCAGGGUCUCUGAGGUUGGUAGCAUUCCACAUCUCUUAGAUUGGAGCUUUAUAGAAGACAGAAGUUGUGGGGCCUUGAGGUGAAGACAAUGUCUACAUAAUUGAAGACAGUCUUUACCCUACACAAUGAGUACCAGUGGCCCUCUGAGGGAACUUCUGCCUGAUACUGGAAGAACAGCAACUGGAUUUGACAGCACAACCACCCACAAACACCCUUUACAGCUCCAGGACUCUUUUCUGUGUGUAUUCAUCCAACAGUGGUGGAGUAUACUCAGCUGUGUAUACUCAAAGUCACUGUCUACAUCAACCUAUUUCUUACAUCACCACUGUCUCAGUUACUCCACUCACUGCAGCACAUUCUCUCAAAUAUGAGCAUUUUAGACUUUAUGUCAAUA